GAUGAAGAACGUAGCGAAAUGCGAUACGUAGUGUGAAUUGCAGAAUUCAGUGAUUCAUCGAAUCUUUGAACGCACAUUGCACCUCUCGGUAUUCCGGGAGGUAUGCCUGUUCGAGCGUCAUUUGUACCCUCAAGCUCUGCUUGGUGUUGGGUGUUUGUUCCGCCUCUGUGUGUGAACUCGCCUCAAAACAAUUGGCAGCCGGCGUACUUGUUUCGGAGCGCAGCACAUUUUGCGAUCCAGAUCAACGUACAGCGGCAUCCAAGAAGCCUUAUUUAACGCUCUUGACCUCGGAUCAGGUAGGGAUACCCGCUGAACUUAAGCAUAUCAAUAAGCGGAGGA
Molecule: unclassified non-coding RNA, 339 nt
Filed under: soil metagenome
Description: partial contains 5.8S ribosomal RNA, internal transcribed spacer 2, and large subunit ribosomal RNA
Rfam family: 5.8S ribosomal RNA (bases 1-120)
Source: RNAcentral